Molecule: ribosomal RNA, 253 nt
Filed under: uncultured bacterium
Lineage: Bacteria
Description: partial 16S ribosomal RNA
Rfam family: Bacterial small subunit ribosomal RNA
Source: RNAcentral
UACGUAGGGGGCAAGCGUUGUCCGGAUUUAUUGGGCGUAAAGAGCGUGUAGGCGGCCAGACAGGUCCGUUGUGAAAACUCGAGGCUCAACCUCGAGACGUCGACGGAAACCGUCUGGCUAGAGUCCGGAAGAGGAGUGUGGAAUUCCUGGUGUAGCGGUGAAAUGCGCAGAUAUCAGGAAGAACACCGGUGGCGAAAGCGCUCUGCUAGGCCGCAACUGACACUGAGGGACGAAAGCUAGGGGAGCGAAUGGG